Molecule: long non-coding RNA, 446 nt
Organism: Peromyscus eremicus (cactus mouse)
Lineage: Eukaryota; Metazoa; Chordata; Mammalia; Rodentia; Cricetidae
Exons: 2
Source: RefSeq, a predicted model, not a curated record
UCAUUGAGUUCAUAGGCCAUGAAGACUUGACAGAUUUCAACCCUGAAACACAAGGCCGAAAGUUUCAGCCCUGGGUGAGGAGGGUUAAACGUGAUAGAGCAAGAGGCUUUCAGAACAGAGAAAUGCUUGUGCCUCUUUUGUUUGCUAAUUCCACUUUCCACUGUCUGACACCUCUCUCUGCAGGAACAGAAGAAUCUGAGGAAAGUAACAGAACACGUGCACAGCAGUCACCUGAGGAGCCCUGCAGAUCAUCAAGGGAGCAAGAUUGCUUAUCCUAAAAGGGAGAAGACUCCAGUAACUGACAAAGAUGCAUGGCACCUGUUAAGGUUCUUAACUUCAUCCGCCUUGCCCCAAACCUUCACCCUGCACUCCUUCCAAAUCAUUGUCAUAAAUUUAACAUGGGGAAGUCGUAACCAUUGCACAUUAAACUUGAAUAUAAUUAGUAA